AUGAAAAAGGAUGUGGAGAAGUUCAUCACCGAAUGCCCAGUUUGCCAAAGAGCCAAAGCAGAGCACUGUCAUUACCCAGGCCUACUAGACCCCCUCCCUCUCAACGACAUGGCGUGGGCACACUUGACCAUGGACUUCAUCGAGGGUCUACCAAAAUCCAAUGGGAAGGAAGUCAUACUCGUAGUGGUGGACCGAUAUACUAAGUACGCCCAUUUCAUCUCCCUCCCUCACCCCUACAAUGUUAACAUGGUGGCCCAAGCUUUCAUAGACAAUGUUUUCAAGUUACAUGGCCCACCAAUCAGCAUUGUAACGGACCGGGACAGAAUCUUCACAAGUAACAUGUGGCAGGGGAUAUUCAAGGCAAUGAAAAUCAAGCUUAGACUCAGCACUGCUUACCACCCUCAGAGUGACGGCCAGACCGAGCGGGUCAACCAAUGUCUGGAAUCGUAUCUCAGAUGCAUGGUUUUCCAAGAGCCCAAGAAAUGGCACUCCUGGCUACCCCUAGCAGAGUGGUGGUACAAUACCACAUAUCACACGGCUACUAAAUUCACUCCAUUUCAGGCUUUGUACAGCUACCCACCUCCCCUAAUCAGUGAAAUAGCCAUUCCUGGUCCUGUGGACACUGAUGCCAGGGACUUCUUGGCUGAAAAACAGCACAUGUUAUCCACUCUGAAGGAGAACUUGGCACAGGCCCAAGGGCGCAUGAAAAAAUAUGCUAACAAGAAGAGACUCGAGAGGCAAUUUGAAGUUGGAGAUAUGGUUUACUUGCAAAUGCAACCCUACAGAAUGGCUGCUUUCGGAAUUCGCCAGGCCAUGAAGCUCACAACAAAGUUCUACGGCCCUUAUCGUGUACUGGAAAAUAUUGGCCAUGUAGCAUACAAACUCCAACUUCCAGCGAAUGUGGGCAUCCAUCCUGUAUUCCACAUAAGCCAGUUAAAAAAGCACCUGGGCUCUCAUGCAAUACCCAGUCCAGAUCUCCCUCUUGUGGGCACAGAUGGCAGGAUCAAAACCGAGCCCUUAGCUGUCCUGGAAACCAGAUCGUUACCCAGGAAUGGGGUUCUGGUCACACAAUGGCUCGUCGAGUGGGAGAACCUCAAGCCAGAAGAUGCAACUUGGGAGGAUGCAAACUUCAUGAAGCAAGUUUUUCCGGCCUUCUUCGCAAACACCAUCAAGAGUUGGUUCCUAAAUCGGAAUACUUGA
This 1200-nucleotide ribosomal RNA is filed under the name Triticum aestivum (bread wheat). RNAcentral describes it as "partial small subunit ribosomal RNA". Lineage: Eukaryota; Viridiplantae; Streptophyta; Magnoliopsida; Poales; Poaceae. The record is from RNAcentral.